AUGAACGCUGGCGGCGUGCCUAACACAUGCAAGUCGAACGGAGUCCAGCCUUUAAGACCUUCGGGUCAAAGAGGGGAAGACUGAGUGGCGGACGGGUGAGUAACACGUGGGCAACCUGGCUCAUAGAGGGGGAUAACAGAGAGAAAUUUCUGCUAAUACCGCAUAAGCACACACUGCCGCAUGGCAGAGGGUGAAAAGAGAAUCGCUAUGAGAUGGACCCGCGUCUGAUUAGCCAGUUGGCAGGGUAAGAGCCUACCAAAGCGACGAUCAGUAGCCGAUCUGAGAGGAUGAACGGCCACAUUGGGGCUGAGACACGGCCCAAACUCCUACGGGAGGCAGCAGUGGGGGAUAUUGCACAAUGGGGGGAACCCUGAUGCAGCGACGCCGCGUGAGUGAAGAAGUAUUUCGGUAUGUAAAGCUCUAUCAGCAGGGAAGAUAAUGACAGUACCUGAAGAAGAAGCCCCGGCUAACUACGUG
Molecule: ribosomal RNA, 477 nt
Filed under: uncultured bacterium
Lineage: Bacteria
Description: partial 16S ribosomal RNA
Rfam family: Bacterial small subunit ribosomal RNA
Source: RNAcentral